UACGUAGGGGGCAAGCGUUGUCCGGAUUUAUUGGGCGUAAAGAGCGUGUAGGCGGCCAGGCAGGUCCGCUGUGAAAACUCGAGGCUCAACCUCGAGACGCCGAUGGAAACCCUCCAGCUAGAGUCCGGAAGAGGAGAGUGGAAUUCCUGGUGUAGCGGUGAAAUGCGCAGAUAUCAGGAAGAACACCCGUGGCUAAGGCGGCUCUCUAGUACGGUACUGACGCUGAGACGCGAAAGCGUGGGGAGCGAACAGG
RNAcentral lists this ribosomal RNA (253 nucleotides) under uncultured bacterium. RNAcentral describes it as "partial 16S ribosomal RNA". It matches the Rfam family "Bacterial small subunit ribosomal RNA", at positions 524 to 776 of the family's 1533-position model. The record is from RNAcentral.